This 435-nucleotide ribosomal RNA is filed under the name uncultured bacterium. RNAcentral describes it as "bacterial SSU rRNA". It matches the Rfam family "Bacterial small subunit ribosomal RNA", at positions 57 to 507 of the family's 1533-position model. The record is from RNAcentral.
GCAAGUCGAACGGGAUCCUUUGGAUUCGUCUGAAGGUGAGAGUGGCGAACGGGUGAGUAACACGUAGGUGACCUGCCCCCGGAGAGGGGGACAACCACUGGAAACGGUGGCUAAUACCCCAGAUGUUAUUGCGCUUAGAAAGCAAUUACUAAAGUUCCGGCGCUCCGGGAGGGGCCUGCGGCCCAUCAGCUUGUUGGUAAGGUAAUGGCUUACCAAGGCUAAGACGGGUAGGGGGCGUGAGAGCGUGACCCCCCCACACUGGUACUGAGACACGGACCAGAUACCUGCGGGUAGCAGCAGCAAGGAAUAUUGCCCAAUGGACGAAAGUCUGAGGCAGCAACACCGCGUGGAGGAUGAAGGCCUUCGGGUUGUAAACUCCUUUCUGGGGGAAGAGAAAGGACGGUACCCCAGGAAUAAGUCUCGGCUAACUACGUG